RNAcentral lists this long non-coding RNA (564 nucleotides) under Cyanistes caeruleus (blue tit). RNAcentral's name for it is "lncRNA (ENSCCEG00000020725.1)". The record is from RNAcentral. Lineage: Eukaryota; Metazoa; Chordata; Aves; Passeriformes; Paridae.
UCAAAGCUGUAAUUAAUCCUCUGACUUGCAACUGUGGUGAAUGCUCGUCAGCUGUGUCUAGUGAUAAGGUGCUUCUGCACAGCCAAGGAAUAAGGUCAGUCCUGCUGGGAAGUGAGAUGUGUCCUGAUUGACUGUGGGUGCUUGCUGUAGAUGCUGAGAGGUGCAAAUGCAGUUUUCUGGGUUGAGCUUCAUAGAUCUCUACAAAAAAUUAUCGAGCAGCAAUUCCUGUUGGUGAAAACUGAACUUUGGACAAAAGCAGAGGGAAGGGCUUGUCCUGCCUCUGCAGCCAGGGAGAGACAUGCUGAGCUCUGGGCACAAAGCUGAGAAUGGGACCACAACAAAGGGCUCCUAGCAGGCUCCACAGCAACCUCCCAGUGAUGAUAGCACAUUGAUGUGCAGAACAGUGUCCCCCAUCCUGGAAAGGGAAAUCUCAUCUCUCUGGCACCCAGUACUGGAUGAGUUAAUUCCCAGCUGAAGUCUGUCUGCAGAGUAUGCUUGGGUGUUCCUCUGAGCUGGUGGCAAAGGAAACUGAACAGGAGGUGCUAACAAAGGAGGAAGGGCCUG